AUUAGACUGUGAGCUCCUUGAGGGCAGG
Molecule: microRNA, 28 nt
Filed under: Canis lupus familiaris (dog)
Lineage: Eukaryota; Metazoa; Chordata; Mammalia; Carnivora; Canidae
Description: miRNA (ENSCAFG00000050681.1, ENSCAFG00845014593.1)
Source: RNAcentral